Molecule: transfer RNA, 71 nt
Filed under: Loxodonta africana (African savanna elephant)
Lineage: Eukaryota; Metazoa; Chordata; Mammalia; Proboscidea; Elephantidae
Rfam family: tRNA
About the family: Transfer RNA (tRNA) molecules are approximately 80 nucleotides in length. Their secondary structure includes four short double-helical elements and three loops (D, anti-codon, and T loops). Further hydrogen bonds mediate the characteristic L-shaped molecular structure. tRNAs have two regions of fundamental functional importance: the anti-codon, which is responsible for specific mRNA codon recognition, and the 3' end, to which the tRNAs corresponding amino acid is attached (by aminoacyl-tRNA synthetases). tRNAs cope with the degeneracy of the genetic code in two manners: having more than one tRNA (with a specific anti-codon) for a particular amino acid; and 'wobble' base-pairing, i.e. permitting non-standard base-pairing at the 3rd anti-codon position.
Source: Rfam by way of RNAcentral
ACAGUGGCGGUUCAGUGGUAGAAUUCCCGCCUCCCAUGUGGGAGACCUGACUUCAAUUCCCAGUCAAUGCA